RNAcentral lists this ribosomal RNA (114 nucleotides) under Octodon degus (degu). Lineage: Eukaryota; Metazoa; Chordata; Mammalia; Rodentia; Octodontidae. The record is from RNAcentral.
GUCUGUGGCCAUACCACCCUGAACGCGCCCAAUCUCGUCUGAUCUCGGAAGCUAAGCAGGGUCGGGCCUGGUUAGUACUUGGAUGGGAGAAAGGAGAACAGUGUCCCAUUGUCU